CCCUGUCUUCCCUGCUCCUGCCUGCCCCCUCCUGCCUGCCCUGCUCUCCCCUGCCUCCUCCUGACUACCCUGCUCCCCCCCGCCUGCUAUGCCUAUUCCCUGUCCUGCUCCAUGACUCCUGCCAGCCCUAUUCCCUCCUGUCUCCUGCCUCCUUCCAGCCAAGCUCUCUGCCUGCUGCCUGCCCUGCUCCUUGCCUGCACAGCCUGCUUCCUGUCCUGCUACUCCUGUUCCCUGCCUCCUGCCAGCGCUGGCUGCUGACUCCUGCCUGUCCAGCUCCCUGACUGCCCUACCUCCUGCCUCCCAACAUGCCUCUCCUGUCUGCCAACCGAUCUCUCCGGUAUCUGCAUCCCUGCUGCCUGCCCGCUCUUUGCCCUGACUGCUUCUUUCUGCUGCUCAUUGCAUUCCCUGUCUCAAUGUUCCCUGCCUCCACUGCUGGCCUCAUGCCUGCCCUGACUCCCUACUCUCUGCCUCUUCUGCCUCUUACUUGACCUGCUCCUUCCCUGUCUCCAUAUCUUGUUCCCUGCGUCUCUUCUUUGCCCUGCUGCUUCUACUUCCCUUACCUCUCCUCCCUCCUCUGCUUCACCUGUCUCCCUUGCCUUUCCUUGCCCUGCUUACUGCUUCCUGCCUCCUAUAUAUCCUGCCUCCUCUUCCUCCAGUUGUCCUUGUCCUGCUUCUCUGAUUCUUUUCUCUCUGCCUUCCUCCAUUCUGCCUUCCCUGUCUGCUCUCCUCCCUGCCCCACUCCCUUGUCUCCUUUCCUCCCUGCCCCUGUUUCCCCACAUUCCUCAAUUUCCUGCCCUUUCUUCCCCUCCUGUCUUCUUUCUCCAUCACCAGUUUCCAUCCUUCCUGCAAGAGGGCAUGGCACUGUAAAAAUCAACUCAGCAGCUCAGCUUGUAAGAAUAGCAGGACAGCUUCAGGUUGGUGCUGCAGACAUACCUGCCCUACAUACUGUGCAGAGAGCAGAGAAGAUCAGUUGAGUUUCUGCCAUGUUUUGUGCUGUGCCAUGGCUAAAUUGGCACACUGGACAUUUAGAUGCAGCCUGAGGGCAAUCUGUAAGUAACUCAAACUAGAAAAAAGAUUGUAGAAUGAGUAGGAAGGCAUGAUGUAUUGUUUUUACUGAACUGAAGGAAAUGUUAGUUUUUGUACCUGAGCUGAGAGAUUCUACCCUGGGAAAAUGUGAGAAACCAUCAAAUUCCCCACACAGCUGUUACAGUCACAAACAGUCACUGUUUUCAUAAUGACAAGAAGGAACAAAUCCCUCGUGAAGGUUUACAGGAGCACCAGUACUUGGAGCAGAAAACUUUACAAUAUUUAACUCAUUAAUGUUCACUGGGAGAAUCUGGUCCCUUGGGAAAGACUACAGAGAAGUAGUGGUGAGGCCACAGUUGGAGUAUUGGGUCCUCUUCUGGGCUCCUCAGUACAAGGGAGACAAGAACAUAUAAGAGAAAAUCUGACAAAGGGUCCAGGGGAU
This 1468-nucleotide long non-coding RNA is filed under the name Zonotrichia albicollis (white-throated sparrow). RNAcentral describes it as "lncRNA (ENSZALG00000008702.1)". Lineage: Eukaryota; Metazoa; Chordata; Aves; Passeriformes; Passerellidae. The record is from RNAcentral.